CGGGUAGCUCAGCUGGUAGAGCAGAGGACUG
RNAcentral lists this transfer RNA (31 nucleotides) under Ziziphus ornata. RNAcentral describes it as "partial transfer RNA-Phe". Lineage: Eukaryota; Viridiplantae; Streptophyta; Magnoliopsida; Rosales; Rhamnaceae. The record is from RNAcentral.